Molecule: ribosomal RNA, 2904 nt
Filed under: Klebsiella pneumoniae RYC492
Lineage: Bacteria; Pseudomonadati; Pseudomonadota; Gammaproteobacteria; Enterobacterales; Enterobacteriaceae
Description: bacterial LSU rRNA
Rfam family: Bacterial large subunit ribosomal RNA
Source: RNAcentral
GGUUAAGCGACUAAGCGUACACGGUGGAUGCCCUGGCAGUCAGAGGCGAUGAAGGACGUGCUAAUCUGCGAAAAGCGUCGGUAAGGUGAUAUGAACCGUUAUAGCCGGCGAUGUCCGAAUGGGGAAACCCAGUGCAAUUCGUUGCACUAUCGUUAACUGAAUACAUAGGUUAACGAGGCGAACCGGGGGAACUGAAACAUCUAAGUACCCCGAGGAAAAGAAAUCAACCGAGAUUCCCCCAGUAGCGGCGAGCGAACGGGGAGCAGCCCAGAGUCUGAAUCAGCUUGUGUGUUAGUGGAACGGUCUGGAAAGUCCGACGGUACAGGGUGAUAGUCCCGUACACCAAAAUGCACAGGCUGUGAACUCGAAGAGUAGGGCGGGACACGUGGUAUCCUGUCUGAAUAUGGGGGGACCAUCCUCCAAGGCUAAAUACUCCUGACUGACCGAUAGUGAACCAGUACCGUGAGGGAAAGGCGAAAAGAACCCCGGCGAGGGGAGUGAAAAAGAACCUGAAACCGUGUACGUACAAGCAGUGGGAGCACCUUCGGGUGUGACUGCGUACCUUUUGUAUAAUGGGUCAGCGACUUAUAUUCUGUAGCAAGGUUAACCGUAUAGGGGAGCCGCAGGGAAACCGAGUCUUAACUGGGCGUUAAGUUGCAGGGUAUAGACCCGAAACCCGGUGAUCUAGCCAUGGGCAGGUUGAAGGUUGGGUAACACUAACUGGAGGACCGAACCGACUAAUGUUGAAAAAUUAGCGGAUGACUUGUGGCUGGGGGUGAAAGGCCAAUCAAACCGGGAGAUAGCUGGUUCUCCCCGAAAGCUAUUUAGGUAGCGCCUCGUGAAUUCAUCUUCGGGGGUAGAGCACUGUUUCGGCUAGGGGGUCAUCCCGACUUACCAACCCGAUGCAAACUACGAAUACCGAAGAAUGUUAUCACGGGAGACACACGGCGGGUGCUAACGUCCGUCGUGAAGAGGGAAACAACCCAGACCGCCAGCUAAGGUCCCAAAGUCAUGGUUAAGUGGGAAACGAUGUGGGAAGGCACAGACAGCCAGGAUGUUGGCUUAGAAGCAGCCAUCAUUUAAAGAAAGCGUAAUAGCUCACUGGUCGAGUCGGCCUGCGCGGAAGAUGUAACGGGGCUAAACCAUGCACCGAAGCUGCGGCAGCGACACUAUGUGUUGUUGGGUAGGGGAGCGUUCUGUAAGCCUGCGAAGGUGACCUGUGAGGGUUGCUGGAGGUAUCAGAAGUGCGAAUGCUGACAUAAGUAACGAUAAAGCGGGUGAAAAGCCCGCUCGCCGGAAGACCAAGGGUUCCUGUCCAACGUUAAUCGGGGCAGGGUGAGUCGACCCCUAAGGCGAGGCCGAAAGGCGUAGUCGAUGGGAAACAGGUUAAUAUUCCUGUACUUGGUGUUACUGCGAAGGGGGGACGGAGAAGGCUAUGUUAGCCGGGCGACGGUUGUCCCGGUUUAAGCAUGUAGGCUGGUUAUCCAGGCAAAUCCGGAUAAUCAAGGCUGAGGUGUGAUGACGAGGCACUACGGUGCUGAAGUAACAAAUGCCCUGCUUCCAGGAAAAGCCUCUAAGCAUCAGGUAACAUCAAAUCGUACCCCAAACCGACACAGGUGGUCAGGUAGAGAAUACCAAGGCGCUUGAGAGAACUCGGGUGAAGGAACUAGGCAAAAUGGUGCCGUAACUUCGGGAGAAGGCACGCUGGUGUGUAGGUGAAGUCCCUGCGGAUGGAGCUGAGACCAGUCGAAGAUACCAGCUGGCUGCAACUGUUUAUUAAAAACACAGCACUGUGCAAACACGAAAGUGGACGUAUACGGUGUGACGCCUGCCCGGUGCCGGAAGGUUAAUUGAUGGGGUUAUCCGUAAGGAGAAGCUCUUGAUCGAAGCCCCGGUAAACGGCGGCCGUAACUAUAACGGUCCUAAGGUAGCGAAAUUCCUUGUCGGGUAAGUUCCGACCUGCACGAAUGGCGUAAUGAUGGCCAGGCUGUCUCCACCCGAGACUCAGUGAAAUUGAACUCGCUGUGAAGAUGCAGUGUACCCGCGGCAAGACGGAAAGACCCCGUGAACCUUUACUAUAGCUUGACACUGAACAUUGAGCCUUGAUGUGUAGGAUAGGUGGGAGGCUUUGAAGCGUGGACGCCAGUCUGCGUGGAGCCAACCUUGAAAUACCACCCUUUAAUGUUUGAUGUUCUAACGUUGGCCCCUGACCGGGGUUGCGGACAGUGUCUGGUGGGUAGUUUGACUGGGGCGGUCUCCUCCCAAAGCGUAACGGAGGAGCACGAAGGUUAGCUAAUCCUGGUCGGACAUCAGGAGGUUAGUGCAAUGGCAUAAGCUAGCUUGACUGCGAGCGUGACGGCGCGAGCAGGUGCGAAAGCAGGUCAUAGUGAUCCGGUGGUUCUGAAUGGAAGGGCCAUCGCUCAACGGAUAAAAGGUACUCCGGGGAUAACAGGCUGAUACCGCCCAAGAGUUCAUAUCGACGGCGGUGUUUGGCACCUCGAUGUCGGCUCAUCACAUCCUGGGGCUGAAGUAGGUCCCAAGGGUAUGGCUGUUCGCCAUUUAAAGUGGUACGCGAGCUGGGUUUAGAACGUCGUGAGACAGUUCGGUCCCUAUCUGCCGUGGGCGCUGGAGAAUUGAGGGGGGCUGCUCCUAGUACGAGAGGACCGGAGUGGACGCAUCACUGGUGUUCGGGUUGUCAUGCCAAUGGCACUGCCCGGUAGCUAAAUGCGGAAGAGAUAAGUGCUGAAAGCAUCUAAGCACGAAACUUGCCCCGAGAUGAGUUCUCCCUGAGACUUUAAGUCUCCUGAAGGAACGUUAAAGACGAUGACGUUGAUAGGCCGGGUGUGUAAGCGCAGCGAUGCGUUGAGCUAACCGGUACUAAUGAACCGUGAGGCUUAACCUUAC